UGGUAUUUUUUAAGAAUAGGCCAAAAAAUAAUCAUCGCCCUUUAUGCUUUGCAUAUGUCACAAUCUAGUAAUAAAGGCUAAGUACCUUGGUCUCAGCUUCUUGCCCGAGGAAGCCUAGGUAUGUACAUUGGGCCAGACCAGCCCCUGGCCCUCUUGACCUAGCUUGCAUUAUAUGGAGGCCAGCCUGAUAUAUAUUUGUAUAUGUAUUACAUAGAUAUAGUAAAUAUAUGGUGGUAAAAAUUAUCUGAUAUAGGUAAAGAUAGUUGUAAUUUAAGGACUCCUACUUUUAAUCUAGUAUUCUUUGUAAAUUAUUAAUACUGAUUGGGACUGUUCUCUUUUUCCAUCAUCACAAAUGAAGCACCCAACCCUAAGUUGUCCUCUCCUUAUUUGCAUAAUACCUCAGCCGCAUUCGAAGGCAGCUUUACAAUUCUUUUUUUUUGAUAUAACGGUUGCUCAUAUAGCUCUAAUGUAAGUACAACCAGCUAAAUCAAGAAAAAAAAGUGGCGUGGAGGAGGAGGGGCCGAAUCCGCAUUAGUCCAAAAGACCUCUCCGGAGUGUCAGACAACGAAAGAGGCGACCCAGUCAGCGACUCUAUUUGCCUUCCGAUACACGUGGGCAGCCUAAAAGGAGCCCAGAUUCCUUGUCAAUCUGCGGAU
RNAcentral lists this long non-coding RNA (656 nucleotides) under Phoenix dactylifera (date palm). RNAcentral's name for it is "long non-coding RNA (PDAC_LNC003185)". Lineage: Eukaryota; Viridiplantae; Streptophyta; Magnoliopsida; Arecales; Arecaceae. The record is from RNAcentral.